RNAcentral lists this long non-coding RNA (367 nucleotides) under Vigna radiata. Its description in RNAcentral is "long non-coding RNA (VRAD_LNC012145)". Lineage: Eukaryota; Viridiplantae; Streptophyta; Magnoliopsida; Fabales; Fabaceae. The record is from RNAcentral.
AAUUGUAUGUGAUGAAAAGGUUCAAGUUUGGGGUUGCAUGGGGGAAACUGAAAGGCAAUUGAAAAAUUAUUGAGCUCCAAUGUUGUGAAAGAAAAAUACAUGAGAAAAAGAAAAGAAAAGAAUAAAAGCAUCAAGAUAAGCUCAGUGCAAAAGAAAAGGGGAAAAGUUGGGAAUAAGUGAGAUUGGUGAGGAAGAGAGUUGUUCUUGAAUGUUGAAUAUUAUGAUAGCUCUCUUAACUCAAGGACUUUACAUUCUAGAAAAACCAAUUUUCUUGUUAGCCCAGCCUCAUUACAAGCCUUGGAAAAGUCCUUUUGAUGGCAUUUGCAUGUUAGAAUUUUGGUUGUUUUAGAUGAAUGGCAAUUUUGUU